GUAUUAGAUACUGUGUCGAGUGGCUUUAGGAUAAGUGGGAGUUAUUUGAAAAUAUGUCCCAAAAGCCAAUCGUCAGCUUGUUGACGGUUGAGCAAUCUUGUAUUGUAAUUAAUUUGUUAAUAAAUAAAAUAUAUUUUUUAUAUUUUCAUCAUAAGUUUUUAUCUUCUAAUGAACUCUGUUGUUGUGAUGAAGUCCUUAGAACUAUUUAGAUUCGAUAAAGAGAGGAUUUAUCGAUUAGUUCUUAAAACUGUUCAUGACCAA
Molecule: long non-coding RNA, 261 nt
Filed under: Elaeis guineensis (African oil palm)
Lineage: Eukaryota; Viridiplantae; Streptophyta; Magnoliopsida; Arecales; Arecaceae
Description: long non-coding RNA (EGUI_LNC061406)
Source: RNAcentral